GAUGAACGCUGGCGGCGUGCCUAAUACAUGCAAGUCGAGCGAACAGACGAGGAGCUUGCUCCUUUGACGUUAGCGGCGGACGGGUGAGUAACACGUAGGUAACCUACCUAUAAGACUGGGAUAACUUCGGGAAACCGGAGCUAAUACCGGAUAAUAUUUCGAACCGCAUGGUUCGAUAGUGAAAGAUGGCUUUGCUAUCACUUAUAGAUGGACCUGCGCCGUAUUAGCUAGUUGGUAAGGUAACGGCUUACCAAGGCAACGAUACGUACCCGACCUGAGCGGGUGAUCGCCCACACUGGAACUGAGACACGGUCCAGACUCCUACGGGAGGCAGCAGUAGGGAAUCUUCCGCAAUGGGCGAAAGCCUGACGGAGCAACGCCGCGUGAGUGAUGAAGGUCUUCGGAUCGUAAAACUCUGUUAUUAGGGAAGAACAAACGUGUAAGUAACUGUGCACGUCUUGACGGUACCUAAUCAGAAAGCCACGGCUAACUACGUG
Molecule: ribosomal RNA, 497 nt
Filed under: uncultured bacterium
Lineage: Bacteria
Description: partial 16S ribosomal RNA
Rfam family: Bacterial small subunit ribosomal RNA
Source: RNAcentral